This 422-nucleotide ribosomal RNA is filed under the name uncultured soil bacterium. RNAcentral's name for it is "bacterial SSU rRNA". It matches the Rfam family "Bacterial small subunit ribosomal RNA", at positions 26 to 454 of the family's 1533-position model. The record is from RNAcentral.
AGAUUGAACGCUGGCGGCAUGCCUAACACAUGCAAGUCGAACGGGAGUAGCAAUACUCUAGUGGCGGACGGGUGAGGAAUACGUAGGAAUUUGCCCUUAAGUGGGGGAUAACCCGGGGAAACCCGGAUUAAUACCGCAUGACCUCGAAAGAGCAAAGCGGGGGAUCGCAAGACCUCACGCUUUUGGAGAAGCCUACGUCGGAUUAGCUAGUUGGUGAGGUAAUGGCUCACCAAGGCGACGAUCCGUAACUGGUCUGAGAGGAUGAUCAGUCACACGGAACUGAGACACGGUCCGGACUCCGUACGGGAGGCAGCAGUGGGAAUAUUGGACAAGUGGGCGCAAGCCUGAUCCAGCAAUGCCGCGUGUGUAGAAGUAAGGCCGUUCGGUUGUAAGCGUAACUUUAAGGUUAGGAAGUAAAAAAC